RNAcentral lists this transfer RNA (86 nucleotides) under Pseudocorticium jarrei. RNAcentral's name for it is "tRNA-Ser". It matches the Rfam family "tRNA". From Rfam's summary of the family: Transfer RNA (tRNA) molecules are approximately 80 nucleotides in length. Their secondary structure includes four short double-helical elements and three loops (D, anti-codon, and T loops). The record is from RNAcentral. Lineage: Eukaryota; Metazoa; Porifera; Homoscleromorpha; Homosclerophorida; Oscarellidae.
GACGAGAUGGCUGAGUCAGGUAAAGCGGCAGUUUGCUAAACUGUGAUCUUUUUAUGGAUUCAUGGGUUCGAAUCCCAUUCUCGUCG